AUUGAACGCUGGCGGCAGGCUUAACACAUGCAAGUCGAGCGAGCGGCGGACGGGUGAGUAAUGUCUGGGAAACUGCCUGAUGGCGGGGGAUAACUACUGGAAACGGUAGCUAAUACCGCAUACCAUCAGAUCUGCCCAUAUCGGAUUAGCUAGUAGGUGGGGUAAUGGCUCACCUAGGCGACGAUCCAUAGCUGGUCUGAGAGGAUGACCAGCCACACUGGAACUGAGACACGGUCCAGACUCCUACGGGAGGCAGCAGUGGGGAAUAUUGCACAAUGGGCGAAAGUCUGAUGCAGCCAUGCCGCGUGUGUGAAGAAGGCCUUCGGGUUGUAAAGCACUUUCAGCUAGGAGGCGUUACUCGCAGAAGAAGCACCGGCUAACUCCGUGCCAGCCGCCGCGGUAAUAC
RNAcentral lists this ribosomal RNA (406 nucleotides) under uncultured bacterium. Its description in RNAcentral is "partial 16S ribosomal RNA". It matches the Rfam family "Bacterial small subunit ribosomal RNA", at positions 30 to 526 of the family's 1533-position model. The record is from RNAcentral.